RNAcentral lists this ribosomal RNA (253 nucleotides) under uncultured bacterium. RNAcentral's name for it is "partial 16S ribosomal RNA". It matches the Rfam family "Bacterial small subunit ribosomal RNA", at positions 524 to 776 of the family's 1533-position model. The record is from RNAcentral.
GACAGAGGCCUCGAGCGUUAGGCGGAAUCACUGGGCUUAAAGCGUGUGUAGGCGGACCGUUAAGUACCUUGUGAAAUCCCACGGCUCAACCGUGGAACGGCUGGGUAUACUGGCGGUCUUGAGCCACCUAGGGGCGAGCGGAACAAACGGUGGAGCGGUGAAAUGCGUAGAUAUCGCUUGGAACGCCAAUGGUGAAGACAGCUCGCUGGGGGUGUGCUGACGCUGAGACACGAAAGCCAGGGGAGCGAACGGG